Long non-coding RNA from Tympanuchus pallidicinctus (lesser prairie-chicken), 3437 nucleotides. RefSeq lists it as uncharacterized. Lineage: Eukaryota; Metazoa; Chordata; Aves; Galliformes; Phasianidae. The record is from RefSeq and is a predicted model, not a curated record. The transcript has 9 exons.
AGUAGUUUUGGAGGGUAAACAGAGAUAAGAGGAAGCUGGGUAAAUCCAAUAACUCCUCCCUUAAGGGCAGGUGCAGCGAUGUGGCUCAAGGUACAGAACAGAGGAAAUGCCUUGUUGACACAGGUGAUCAGAGCAAAGUGGCCAAAAUUGAUAUAAAGAUAUUAGUAUGCCAUGUGAAGCCCUGCUUUCUCAAGGCUGCUAUUUUUCAGCCCUCCAUAACAUCUCUGUUCCUUAACCUCCAUUUAACCUGGUGACUUGUGGAAGCAUCUUCAGAGGGCUGUUGGAUACCAGAAUCUCACUUCUGGUUCAAGAAGUCUCUGAUUCAUGGACUGCUGCAGGAGAGGAUUCUGAGGAAGUAUCACAACAUGCUUACCCUGAUCCAGCCCAUCGUUCAGUGCUGGAGGAUAGUGGGAUGGAUCUGUGGUCUCACCUGGUACAGUUCUGUACACAUAAUGUGGCUUCUUUAAAACUGUCUUUAAGACCUCUUGUGAGAGCAAGACUGAUUGUUCCUAUCAAGAAAACACAUACAAUUAGGUUUAUUUUUGAUUGGAUCUUGUACAAAGACAUUACCUUCAAGAAGAAACAUUGAAAUUUUAGGUUUUUCUUGAAACCAGCAUAUAAGGAUAUGUUGUAUGUUGUGACUACGCUGCCUCCUACACAGAUGAGAUAAAAAGGAGUUGAAGUACUACUGGACCAAACUCCCAACAGAAGUCUUUGAUAUUUGUCUUUGGAUGUUGUGGAUGUGAAGAUGUUUCAGAAUGGAGUUCAUAAUCCAGGACCUCUUUUCAUGGGAGGGUGAAUACAUGAAGGCCUUCUUGGUGCGCAUCAAAUCCUGACCUGGGAUGGAAAGCAAUCUUUGUGAACAUUUGUACAGAGGGCUGUGUGAUAGAUCCAGCAAAGGCUGAAGACUGGCAAUAGUGGCUGAUGUAGUACCAUGGAGAAAAGAAAUCCGAACACUGCUCUCCAAGGAGACUGAGUGAGAAGUUAGGUAAUAUUGGGUUUCAUUGCCUAGUUCGAGUUGACAGAAGGCAAGGUGAUUUUGCUCUUCAAAUUGUGCUCAGAGGACAGGAGGCAGUGUUUUUAUUGCAGUAUAUGUGGUAGGUGGUAGGAAGGCAUUGUAUUAUGUACAAAGGUCUCUCGCAAAGCUGAUGCCUAUUUUUCCCACUGCAGAGUCGGUACACUGACUGCCUCCUUGCACAUCCAAAGCCUUGCCAUGAUUUGCUCUCCGUAUAAUUUCAUUAAACCAAUGGGAAUUGCACUGAGGUAAAAUUGGAGGAGAAAUUUUGUAUUCUGUAGCUGACAGGGGACGUCCUGAAUUUAUUCUAAAUUUAUUCUAUUGGUGUGGCUUUACUUUCAGGUAGGCAUUGUCAUGCAUAAGCCCUUUCAAGACAUCUGCUGCAAUAGCUGCAAGUGUAAAGUGUUCACUAGGAGCUUCUAUACUGCACUGCUGUGUGUGUGCAGGCUGUGCAAAGUGGGGAAUUCACCUUGCUUGUUAAACCAUAACCUUCCACAUAGGAAGCUCAAGUAGGUCACUUAGGGGAGCCAGGAAAUGCGCUGCGUGUCUGAUACGAAUCUGAUAGCCCAUCUAGUAAACGGGAGUGGCCAACAACACACAUCCCAGUUUGUCAGAUGUGCUCAUGUGUUUUCGGAGAUGUUACAGAUAGAGUAUAUAUCAGAGCUUAGAAUCUGACCUUAAAAAGUAGAUGUCUUCUAAGAUUGCAUUUGACUUCCUUGUGAUAAGAAUUAGCUUUCCAUCUUAAUCAGCAUUUGUGAUUUGAUUCAGCAAAGCAUUGAAGGUGUGCUUGAGGCAAUCUCUCUUCAGCAAAACUUUUAACUUUGAAUACAUGUUCCAGGAACAGAAAUUGAAAUUAGAGUUGGGUACAUAGGCUUCACAAAAUUGGGUUUCAACUUUGGGGAAAACAGUCAUGAUCACUUAGUUUCUAGUGCAAACAUUUCUCCACUUUUGCUGAGGAGGGACUGGCACAGGAGUCACUGGAAACCAAGAUUAAUUGUGUGCAGGAGAUUUACGCCAUUGGUGAAAUAACAGCUAAGCAUGUGAGCAGGCAUAAGUUAAGUGAAAAACUAUCUAUUUAAGCAUUUGGAUCUAUACAAAGAAAAAUUUUGAAAGAUUGACAUUUCAGUGUCAAAAUUCAAGUGAAAAUUUGUGAUUCAGAAAAUGUUUGCAGUAGUCUGUAACCCUCUGUUCAUUUUAUGCCUAUAUGCCUGCAGACAGACAUUCUCUUCCUUAUUCAUGUUUCCAAUUUUCUGUUUUUGUAAAACUAUAAAAUAAACAAAUGCACACAGAUUUUGUGAUGUGCUCCACCAUUCCUCUAGUAUUGCACUGUAGGAUACAACAAAGACAUAAUGAGUGAGAAUAAAGGAAUCAGGGAUAUCAAAGAAAAGACAUUCCUUUAUUCCUCAUCAGGCAAAGAGAAAAGAUAGCAGAAUCAAAGCUGUGAAGGCUUCCCUGUUAGUAGACCCUAACACAGGUAAGAAAUACCAUUUUCAGCUGAGUUGUUACUGGAGUUCUGCAAAGUCUGCUCCAUGAACAGGCUUGCAAUCUGAACAUGGGACUUCUUUUACUUUUAUGUGCUAUUGACAGCAACAGUAUCUCUCUUCCUUCCCUACCAUCUGCAAGCCAGAAAUAUCACCAUCUCCCAGCCACUGCAAACUGAAGAACCCAAUUGUCCUUAUCUACUCUCCAAAAUGUGCACUGUGAGGAAUGUCCUGCAAAUGUUUAUUGUAAGAGAGCUCCGCGUUCAUUUGCCCGUUACGCAGCAUUUUGUGGGAUGAGAAAGAAACAAGCCAAAAGAAACCAGCAGAAGAAAUAGUUAUCAUGUUGGAGAACCGCAGAUGGGGAAAACAAAUGCAUCUUUCUUUAUGAAAACACCCAGAUGCAAACUUGCUGGAGUACAACUACAGGAGCUGUAUGUAUGUGUGUAGAGGACAAAGUUUUCCUCUCGUAUUCUACUGCUGCUGGUUCUUCUAUUUCAACACUGACCUGAGGAGAAGCUCCAAGGGAUGAAAGGGUUAUUAUGCGACCAGACACCUUGGGUCACCUGGGGUAAAUUACCAUUGCCUCUUAGUUAAGUCCUCGUGUUCUGGUGAAAUCAGUGGAGCCUGUUUUCACUGGUGCAGUAUCUGAGACAUCAAGUUUAAUGAAUCGUUACAAAUGAUUUAAUCUGCACUUGCAGGUGCUAUUAAAACUUUUUUUUUCUUUUCUGCCAAGACCUUUUUUUUUUUUUUUUUUUACCUAGGAAAAGCAAUCUUUCUCAGUCGCAAUGGUUUAAAUAGGGAGUAACAGGAUAGGUUUUGCUCAUUAGAAAGCCUGAUGCUGGCUUCAGUAUUCCCUUCUGCUAAAAUUACCUCCUCCAGCAUUUAAGACUUUAAGUUGCAGGGGAUAAAACAUAAGGCCCUGGUUAAUUGCAAAUAAAUAG